AUCGCUUCUCGGCCUUUUGGCUAAGAUCAAGUGUAGUAUCUCUUCCAGGAGCUUUGCCGGGAGAGCGUGUGAAAGCAUC
Small nuclear RNA from Carassius auratus (goldfish), 79 nucleotides. Its record names the gene U2. It matches the Rfam family "U2 spliceosomal RNA". From Rfam's summary of the family: U2 is a small nuclear RNA (snRNA) component of the spliceosome (involved in pre-mRNA splicing). Complementary binding between U2 snRNA (in an area lying towards the 5' end but 3' to hairpin I) and the branchpoint sequence (BPS) of the intron results the bulging out of an unpaired adenosine, on the BPS, which initiates a nucleophilic attack at the intronic 5' splice site, thus starting the first of two transesterification reactions that mediate splicing. The record is from Ensembl. Lineage: Eukaryota; Metazoa; Chordata; Actinopteri; Cypriniformes; Cyprinidae.